This 66-nucleotide transfer RNA is filed under the name Thoradonta nodulosa. RNAcentral's name for it is "tRNA-Trp". RNAcentral also lists the same sequence under 2 other names. The record is from RNAcentral. Lineage: Eukaryota; Metazoa; Arthropoda; Insecta; Orthoptera; Tetrigidae.
AAGGACUUAAGUUAAAUAAACUAAUAACCUUCAAAGUUAUAAAUAAAAUAAUAAUUUUAGGCCUUA